CCUACGGGUGGCAGCAGUGGGGAAUAUUGGGCAAUGGGCGCAAGCCUGACCCAGCAACGCCGCGUGAAGGAAGAAGGCUUUCGGGUUGUAAACUUCUAUUAAGAGGGAAGAGCUGAAGACGGUACCUCUUGAAUAAGUCCCGGCUAACUACGUGCCAGCAGCCGCCGUACUACGUAGGUGGCAAGCGUUGUCCGGACUUACUGGGUGUAAAGGGCGUGUAGCCGGGGUGACAAGUCAGGUGUGAAAUCCCGUGGCUCAACCACGGAACUGCAGUUGAAACUGUCGGUUUGGAGUAUCGGAGAGGCAGGCGGAAUUGCUAGGGUAGCGGUGAAAUGCGGAGAUAUUAGGAGGAACACCAGUGGCGAAGGCGGCCUGCUGGACGACAACUGACGGUGAGGCGCGAAAGCGUGGGGAGCAAACAGGAUUAGAUACCCCUGUAGUC
Molecule: ribosomal RNA, 442 nt
Filed under: uncultured bacterium
Lineage: Bacteria
Description: partial 16S ribosomal RNA
Rfam family: Bacterial small subunit ribosomal RNA
Source: RNAcentral